Mytilus californianus (California mussel) is the source of this 414-nucleotide long non-coding RNA. RefSeq lists it as uncharacterized. NCBI's taxonomy places the organism in Eukaryota, Metazoa, Mollusca, Bivalvia, Mytilida, Mytilidae. The record is from RefSeq and is a predicted model, not a curated record. The transcript is spliced from 3 exons.
GGUCAUACUAGACGAACUUAUAGUGGAUAAAGCACCAUCCACUCCAUGCAGCAGAGCAGGAAGGCAUCAUGAAAACACAGAAGAGUCAAACAUUGUUACAGAAAACAAUGUUCAAGAUGUUCCAACAAGAUUUCUGAAUGGCCAUGGAUACAUUAUUACAAAUACUAUAAAGAAGGAAAAUGGAUGGAUGGACAGACACUGUAUACUGUUGCUGCCACGGAUGUUCUCAGAACUGUGGACCCGCCUGAUAUUAAAAUAGAAGGCCAUCACCUGUUCUACAUAUUCAGUGGUAGGUACUUGACUGAUAGUCAUUGACAAGGCUUCUGACUUUUGACAAGCACAGAAAUAUGUUGAGGGGAUAAACUAGUUUUGUCUAUAUGUUCACAAAAUCAUUGAUUAAUCAGUAGAGUAGCA